GACUGGAUAGCCUAGUGGUAAAGGCAUCACAUUGACAAUGCUGAGAUCCCAGGCUUGAAUCCUGGUCUAGUCA
This 73-nucleotide transfer RNA is filed under the name Endocronartium harknessii PhW48OC. RNAcentral describes it as "tRNA-Val (GAC) (tRNA-Val-GAC-7-1)". It matches the Rfam family "tRNA". From Rfam's summary of the family: Transfer RNA (tRNA) molecules are approximately 80 nucleotides in length. Their secondary structure includes four short double-helical elements and three loops (D, anti-codon, and T loops). Lineage: Eukaryota; Fungi; Basidiomycota; Pucciniomycetes; Pucciniales; Coleosporiaceae. The record is from RNAcentral.